GGGCCAAGCCUGAUGCAGCGACGCCGCGUGAGGGAUGGAGGCCUUCGGGUUGUAAACCUCUUUUAUCGGGGAGCAAGCGUGAGUGAGUUUACCCGUUGAAUAAGCACCGGCUAACUACGUGCCAGCAGCCGCGGUAAUACGUAGGGUGCAAGCGUUAUCCGGAAUUAUUGGGCGUAAAGGGCUCGUAGGCGGUUCGUCGCGUCCGGUGUGAAAGUCCAUCGCUUAACGGUGGAUCCGCGCCGGGUACGGGCGGGCUUGAGUGCGGUAGGGGAGACUGGAAUUCCCGGUGUAACGGUGGAAUGUGUAGAUAUCGGGAAGAACACC
RNAcentral lists this ribosomal RNA (324 nucleotides) under uncultured bacterium. RNAcentral's name for it is "bacterial SSU rRNA". It matches the Rfam family "Bacterial small subunit ribosomal RNA", at positions 373 to 710 of the family's 1533-position model. The record is from RNAcentral.